CGGCGGACGGGUGAGUAACGCGUGGGUAACCUGCCUCAUACAGGGGGAUAACAGUUAGAAAUGACUGCUAAUACCGCAUAAGACCACGGUACCGCAUGGUACAGUGGUAAAAACUCCGGUGGUAUGAGAUGGACCCGCGUCUGAUUAGGUAGUUGGUGGGGUAACGGCCCACCAAGCCGACGAUCAGUAGCCGACCUGAGAGGGUGACCGGCCACAUUGGGACUGAGACACGGCCCAG
Molecule: ribosomal RNA, 238 nt
Filed under: uncultured bacterium
Lineage: Bacteria
Description: partial 16S ribosomal RNA
Rfam family: Bacterial small subunit ribosomal RNA
Source: RNAcentral